RNAcentral lists this microRNA precursor (74 nucleotides) under Bombyx mori (domestic silkworm). RNAcentral's name for it is "mir-2807 microRNA precursor family". It matches the Rfam family "mir-2807 microRNA precursor family". The record is from Rfam by way of RNAcentral. Lineage: Eukaryota; Metazoa; Arthropoda; Insecta; Lepidoptera; Bombycidae.
UUAACUCAAAUUUGUAUGCAGUUGGAACAGCGCCCCUAGCGGCAAACGUUCCAACUCCAUACAAAUUUGAGUUA